RNAcentral lists this small nucleolar RNA (133 nucleotides) under Leptobrachium leishanense (Leishan spiny toad). Its description in RNAcentral is "Small nucleolar RNA SNORA51 (ENSLLEG00000019730.1)". It matches the Rfam family "Small nucleolar RNA SNORA51". From Rfam's summary of the family: ACA51 is a member of the H/ACA class of snoRNA that guide the sites of modification of uridines to pseudouridines. The record is from Rfam by way of RNAcentral. Lineage: Eukaryota; Metazoa; Chordata; Amphibia; Anura; Megophryidae.
CCCCUCCCGAUGCUUACCACAGGCAGGACCUCUCUGUGCCGGUCUGUAUAGAAAGUGGAGGGAUAGUAACACCCUCGUCUACACCACAGGUGGGCUGCCGGGCUCGCACUGUCUUGUUACCGUGGGGACAGUC